ACGCUGGCGGCAGGCUUUAACACAUGCAAGUCGAACGGUAAACAGGGAUUAGCUCUGCUAAUCUGCUGACGAGUGGCGGACGGGUGAGUAAUGCUUGGGAAUCUGGCUUAUGGAGGGGGAUAACUACGGGAAACUGUAGCUAAUACCGCGUAAAAUCUUCGGAUUAAAGGGUGGGACUUUCGGGCCACCUGCCAUAAGAUGAGCCCAAGUGGGAUUAGGUAGUUGGUUAGGUAAGGGCUGACCAAGCCGACGAUCUCUAGCUGGUCUGAGAGGAUGACCAGCCACACUGGAACUGAGACACGGUCCCGACUCCUACGGGAGGCAGCAGUGGGGAAUAUUGCACAAUGGGGGGAACCCUGAUGCAGCCAUGCCGCGUGAAUGAAGAAGGCCUUCGGGUUGUAAAGUUCUUUCGGUGACGAGGAAGGUUGAUAGGUUAAUAGCCUAUCAAAUAGACGUUAAUCACAGAAGAAGCACCGGCUAACUCCGUGCCAGCAGCCGCGGUAAUACGGGGGGUGCAAGCGUUAAUCGGAAUAACUGGGCGUAAAGGGCACGUAGGCGGUGACUUAAGUGAGAUGUGAAAGCCCCGGGCUUAACCUGGGAAUUGCAUUUCAUACUGGGUCGCUAGAGUACUUUAGGGAGGGGUAGAAUUCCACGUGUAGCGGUGAAAUGCGUAGAGAUGUGGAGGAAUACCGAAGGCGAAGGCAGCCCCUUGGGAAUGUACUGACGCUCAUGUGCGAAAGCGUGGGGAGCAAACAGGAUUAGAUACCCUGGUAGUCCACGCUGUAAACGAUGUCGAUUUGGGGGUUGGGCUUUGAGCCUUGGCGCCCGUAGCUAACGUGAUAAAUCGACCGCCUGGGGAGUACGGCCGCAAGGUUAAAACUCAAAUGAAUUGACGGGGGCCCGCACAAGCGGUGGAGCAUGUGGUUUAAUUCGAUGC
Molecule: ribosomal RNA, 937 nt
Filed under: uncultured bacterium
Lineage: Bacteria
Description: bacterial SSU rRNA
Rfam family: Bacterial small subunit ribosomal RNA
Source: RNAcentral